UCCCUUUCACCUGUCCCAGGGCAGAACACUACUGUCUUUCUGAUGGAGGGUCUUAAGACCCUCCAAUGAGGGGUCCCACCCUGUGCCCUGGGGGAAGGAAUGCUGACAUCAUGAAACUUCCUUAAAACCCAGUGGACAGGGUUCAAGGAGUCUCCAAACAGCUGAACAUGCUGAGGUUCCUGGGGGGUGGCACCCAGGGAGGGCAUAGAAGCUCCACACCCUGCCCCGCAUCCCUCAUCCCACGUUCUCUUCAUUGGUAUCCUUUGCAAUAUCUUUUACAAUAAACCAGUAAACAUAAGUAAGGGUUUCACCAAGUUCUGUGAGCUGCUCCAGCAAAUUCAUCAAAGCCAAAGCGGGGGUUCUGGGGACCCCAACUUGAAGCUCGUGGGCCAGAAGUUCCAGAGAGGCCCAGACUUAUCACUGGUGUGCGGGUAGGGGCGGUCUUGGGGACUGAGCCCUUAACCAGUGGGAUCUGACACUAUCUCUGGGUAGACAGUGUUGGAACUGAAUUAGAGGAUACUCAGCUGGUGUCUCUAGUCAUGUGCUGAUGAUUGUUGUCGUGUGAGAACAAAGAAAAAAACACAGAGAGUUUUCCCUACACACAGCCCAAAAUACUAUCUUUAAAAAAUUUUGAAGACAGGUUAACCAAAGGUUCUGGAAGCCAUCCAUGUCCAAAACAAACCAAAUGUGUUGCCCGUAAAACAUCUGCUCUUGAAAAGUAGUCCCUUGGCGAGGUGCGGUGGCUCACACCUGUAAUCUCAGCAUUUGGGAGGCCAAGGCAGGCAGAUCAGUAAGUCAGGAGAUCAAGACCAUCCUGGCUAACACAGUGAAAUCCCGUCGCUACUAAAAAUACAAAAAAUUAGCCUGGUGUGGUGGUGGGCACCUGUAGUCCCAGCUACUCAGGAGGCUGACUCAGGAGAAUCACUUGAACCUGGGAGGCGGAGGUUGCAGUGAGCAGAGAUGGUGCCACCGCACUCCAGCCUAGCAACAGAGUGAAACUCUGUCUCAAAAAAAAAAAAAAAAA
This 1024-nucleotide long non-coding RNA is filed under the name Macaca fascicularis (crab-eating macaque). RNAcentral describes it as "lncRNA (ENSMFAG00000049109.1)". The record is from RNAcentral. Lineage: Eukaryota; Metazoa; Chordata; Mammalia; Primates; Cercopithecidae.